This is a long non-coding RNA of Papaver somniferum (opium poppy), 6056 nucleotides long. RefSeq lists it as uncharacterized. The record is from RefSeq and is a predicted model, not a curated record. The transcript has 7 exons. NCBI's taxonomy places the organism in Eukaryota, Viridiplantae, Streptophyta, Magnoliopsida, Ranunculales, Papaveraceae.
UCUACAGGUGUUAGAGGUCGCCCAAGAGAUCAAUUUAGUCUCAGAAGCACUCAGCAGAGGAAGGAAACCCAUUUCGAUCGGUGGAAUUUCAUCGUCGACACCUAGGGUUAUAAAACCUUCCAAGUGAAUUUCCCUUCACUCCAUUUUCUAACGCAAAGUAUGCAAUAAAAUUGAGUGAAGCGAAACUUGAGAAAUUUGAAGUUGCCCACUUUCAAUUUUGCAAUGCAGAAUAUGAAUAAUGGUUUUUCUUUUGCUGGGAAUUUGAAGUAUAUUUUCGAUUACUUUUACUUCAGAAUAAGAAAAGGAUUGCUUUUGGAGAUUUUAUUAGUGAAAUAACUCAUUUUAUGUUAAUUCAGGGGAUAUAACCGGUCCAGACAAUUUCCUUUGGAUUCUCUUGGUGAGAGACAAAGAGAUCGUGUUGAGAUUGUUGCUGGAAGUGUUAAGUAUUGAAUUCUUCAUCUCUAUUUGAAGCUCUUUAUAAAGAAAAAGAAAAAUCAGCUGAAAAAUCAUAAAUUAGGGUUUUUAUCCGUUUCAUAGUUUCGAUUUUAAGUUGAUUAUGCCAAGAAGUUCAAGACAUAAGUCUUCUCAUCAUAUGUCACAUCAACAUAAGCACAGCUCAAAAGAUGUAGAUUUUGAAGAAGAAGCAGAAGAGGUAUUGAGCUUCAAAGCAAAGAAUGGUAAGGUGAAAACCAUGAGUAGUAGGGAUUCAGAGAAUUUUAAACUUGUUGGGAAAUGAUGGUGGGUGGUGGUGAUUUAAUUGGAAGACUACUAGUAGUUUGAAGAGGCGGAAAGAGAAGUGUGUCAACGGGUUUCGGAUCGGUGGAAAGGCGGUGAAGGUGUUAUCAGUGAGGAGAAAUUAGCUGAUGAGGAUGGAUCGAAAUCAAAGGUUGGUUUGAAGAGUAAAUCUAGCAGUAACAGUAGAAGAGACACGGGGAGAGGUAAUCAGAGAGUAUUGUAGUGGACAAUGAGGAGGUGGUGGUGAAGAAAAGUGUUGUUGGUAAUGGUAAGGUUGGGGUGAAGACCUUGAGGUCUGAUAAGGUUCAUUCUAAGGAGUCUACUAAGGAGAAAGAACAUAGGUCAUCAGAGAGAGACAAGAAGAAUCAAGGUGUGCUGCCUGAAAGUAAGAUUGAUUCAGGGACGGUGGAUGUGAAGAAAGAUGUAGCAAAUGCUGAGAGGCAAAUGCAUGAUGAGUUGCGAAAUCAUGAGUUGGAUAUGGAACUUGAGAAUCCAAUCAGGAGGAGAGGCGAUCCUAAUGACAAGGAUAAAUAUCACGAUGAUAGCUGAGAUGCUAAAGAGAGUCAACCGUCAGGGGAUGAUCGGACCAGGAGUUCAAGUUACAAGGAUGAAAAGCAACAAGAUUAUAGGUAUAGAGAAAGUCUUCAUGAUGAUAUGCGCAAGGACAAGCAGAAGAUGAUAAAUAUAGAGAACGCCAGUAUGAAGAUUCAUGUAAGGACCAAACCGAGAUGAUUAUUUGAAAGAUCACUCAGGUCGAAGGUCUGAUAAUAAGAAUCCCAGUGAUUAAAAAUCGAAGCCCACAGUAGAAGUCUAAACCUCAGGAACGUGAAGGUAAUGGUAGUCCACUUAAUGAUGACCGUGUCACCAAUUACAAAGACAGUAGAGGAAAGAAGAGGUACUCUGAUGAUAAUGAUGAAUACUGUGAUCUUAUAUCUCAUAAUGCCAAGAAGCACCAUCAUUCAGUGUCAGAGGAAAUCACCAAGCAGUAGCAGAAAAUAAUCACCCGCUGAUAGGGGAAGAUCCUAGUCACGGCAUAUGAAUUAUGAUUCUACCCUGAGCUCAAGUAGAUGCAGAAGUCCCAGCCCCAAUGGUCAUCCUGUCAAAGAUCAAUUCAGGACUAGUUCAAAAGUGGGAUCUCAGUACAGGGAUUGUUUCAGAUGAAAGCGUUCGAUAUAAUGUCACUCCUUUAAGAGAGCGUAGUAGUGUUCAUGGAUUUCUGAGAGAGCUUCUGAAUUUUGGUAAGCAGAGAAGCAUAGAUCCACAACAAAGCCCUCCAAAGAGGAAGGAAAACGUUUGUUUGAUUUUUCAGUGGAAAGGUGGUUGAAGAGCUAGUAUCUGCUCAUAUGAUGGUUGAAGAACCAGUCUCUGCUCAAAUGUUGGUCGAAGAAUCAGGCCCUUCUCCAUGGAUGGUUGAUGAUUCAAUUCCCCUUGCUGAUUAUGAAGAAUUCAGGGAACCCGACCUAAACUAUGAUCACAAAAUAACAGAAGUUCAACGCCUGAUUUCUGUUAUAGGGGAAGAAUCAGUUCUGGACUCUGAUCAGGAGAAAGCACACAACCUUGUUCCAAGUUUUUAUCAAGAGGAACCGGAACCAAUUGCAUAUCGUCAUCGCGAAGUGGUGGACCCGGUCGCUGAGGAAGAUACCAUUGUCAUUUCAAGUGAUUGAGAAGGUGCUGAAGGUGCAACUUGGUACUGAUGCCGAACAUAGUAAGUCUGUCAAUGGUGUACAAUGUAUGAUAAUUUGGCUAUACCCACGAGAAAUGUGAGGCUUUUACAGCGAAAGCACUUCGUGAAACCCCUGAAAUUUGUGAUGGUCUCUCAUAAUUGCCAGAAAAGUGUUGCUAGUAAUUGUAAGGUUGAGGUGAAGAUGUCGAGGUCUGAUGAGGAUUCAAGUUAGAAAGUGGUUCAUUACAAGGAGUCUACUCAGGAGAAGGAAAGUAGGUCAUCAGAGAGAGAAGAAGAAUCAAGAUGUGCGGCGUGAAGCAAAGAUUGAUUCAGGGACGAUGAGUAUGAAGAAAGAUGUAGUAAAUGCUGGUAAGAGAGGCAAAAGCAUGAUGAGUUGCGAAAUCCUGAGUUGGAAAGGGAACUUAAGAAACGAAUCAGGACAAGGAGAGAUGGUUCUGAUGACAAGGAUAAGUAUCAUGAUGAUGGCAGAGAUGCUAGUCGAGUAUCGUCGUGGGGUGAUCAGACCAGGAGUUCAAGUUACAAGGAUGUAAAGCAGCAAGAUGAUAGGUAUGGAGAAAGUCAUCAUGAAGAUCUGGGCAAGGACAAGCAGAAAGAUGAUAGGCACAGAGAAAGUUAUUAUGAAGAUCUGCUCAAGGACAAGCAAAAAGAUAAUAGGUAUAGAGAAAGUCAUCAUGAUGAUAUGGGCAAGGAUAAGUACAGAGGAAGUCGAUAUGAAGAAUCACGCAAGGACCACACGAAACGAGAUGACAAGCGCUGAGAUGACUACUUAAAAAAUCACUCAGGUCAAAGUUCUGACAAUAAGUAUCCCAGAGAUGAAAAACAAAGCCCACAGGAGAAGUCUAAACCUCAGGAAUGUGAUGGUAGUCCCCAUAAUGAUGACCGUGUCACCAAUUACAAAGACAGUGUAGGAAAGAAGAGGUGGCUUGAUGAUAAUGAUGAAUAUGGUGAUCUUAAAUCUCGUAAUGCUAAGGAGCACCACCAUGCAGUGGCAGAGAACAAAACAUCAAGCAGUAGCAGAAAAGAAUCACCUGUUGAUAGGGGAAGAUCACAGUCGCGCUAUAUAGAUUAUGAUUCUACUGUGAGCCAAAGUAGACGCAGAAGUCCCAGCCCCAAUGCUCAUCCAGUCAAGGAUCAGUUCAGGACUAGUUCAAAAGCGGAAUCUCAGUACAGGUAACCUUGGUCAGCUUCAGAUGAAAGAGUCCAAUCUAAUGUCAGUCCUCUGAGAGAGCGUAGUAGUGUUCAUGGGAUUUCUGAAAGAGCUUCCGAAUCCUGGUCAGCAGAGAAGCACAGAUCACAAAGCCCUCCAAAGAGGAAGAAAUCAUUUGGCUGAUUUUUCAGCGGAAAGGUCUCCAGUAUGUGAUGGACAGGACUCACCUACAGUGUCGACAGAUAAGUCCCAACCCUCAACAAGUUCAUCAGAGAAGAUAUUCAAACAGAGCAAAUGUUAAGCGAAGCCUUGAUAUGGAAGAAACUGGACGAAUAGAUGACUGAGGAAGCAGGGAAGUGCCUUUUUAGAAGCCAGCAGCAGAUGCGUUUCGUCAGGCUGAUGGUGAAACAGUAUAUGUGUCAUCAUCGCUUAAUUGAAACAGUCACUUUCCGAGCAAUUCAUCUUCUAUUUCUACAACACCUUUCAGGGGCGGGACUUCCAGCCCUUCAGUUUAUGGUUCAUCAAAAGAAGAUAGUAGAGGCAAGUCCCAAUUGUCAUAGGAGGACUGGUGAUUUUUAAUGUGGAAAGAGAUCCAGGUAAUGCAUGGAAGGGCCUUCCAAACUGGCCUUCACAAUUACCAAAUAAGUUUAUGGCUUUUCAGAAUGGUCCACCUCCAGGAGGAUUUCAUGCAAAAAUGCAGCAAUAUCCCACUCCACCUUUGUUUCGUAACCACCCUCGGAUUCCUUAUCACAUGCCUGAUGCUGAUAGAUUUGCUAUGCAGAUGCAUGGAUGGGAUGGAAGUAGUAAUAUUGUCUUUGGGGAUGAAUUUCAUAUGUAUUGGAGACCAGAUUGGGAUCAGAACUGACACAAGCUGGAUGGUCGCGGAUGUGAUGGGAAUUCAGAUACGUGUAAGGGGCAAAAAAGUUCUGCAGCACUUGAAAAAAACUAUCAUGGUCUAUCUUCCAAAGAAGAUGAUAUUUGGGAUGGACACCCAAGUCAGCGAUCCCCGAAUGAGCGAAACAGGCCUAAUUUAGGGCAGAGAGUACUGAGGUAACGAGAUCCAAUGAAGCACCUUCACACACCCAAGGUCCCAAUCGAAGCUCCUUCAGUAAAGCAUGUACUGGAAAAGACACCAGAACCUGCUAAAACAUCAUGUCAUAGUGAUACUCAUUUUUGCCAUGUUUAUCUUUCUAAGCUUGACAUCUCAGUGGAUCUUACUCUUCCUCAGUUUUAUAAGCAGUGAAUUCCAAGAGUCAAGAUGGAAGAUGUCCAACACAACUUUGAGUGCGUCACUUUUCCCCAUACUGGAGGAUACUGUUUUGCAGAGAGCCAACCACUUCUGAUAUAUCCAGAGAUUAUCCAGCUUUGAGUGGGCAGAAACUAGAGACGCUUCCAACUACUUCUGAUGAGACCCUUCAGAUAAAUCUACCUUCAGCUCAAGAGAUAGCAAAAGAACAACCUCUAUCAGCUGAAACAGUAGCCAAAGAACUCAGCUCUGUUCAAAAUGAGGAUUGAAGGGCCAGUCCCAGCUGAAAUUAUGAUUGGAGAGGCAAUCUUAGCUGAAGUAAUGGAUGAGCAGCCAAUUUCAUUUGAAAUGGCCGUUGAAAGAACCUGUCCUUACUCAGAUGAUGGUAGAAGAACCGGUGCCUGCUAAAUUGCUGGAUAAAGAACCAUUCCCCGCUCAAAUGAUGGUUGAAGAGCUAGUAUCUGCUCAUAUGAUGGUUGAGGAAUCUAUCCUCGCUCAAUUGAUGGCCGAAGAACUAGCAUCUGCUUGUAUGAUGGUUGAAGACCAGUUCCUGCUCAAAUGUUGGUCGGAGAAUCAGGCCUUUCUCCGCAAAUGGUUGAUGAUGCAGCUCCUCUUGCUGAUUUUGAAGAAGUUGGGGGAACCAGACUUGCACUAUGAUCAGAAAAUAUUAGAAGUUACUCCGCCUGAUUUCUGAUGUAGGGGAAGAACCAGUUCUAGACUCUGAUCAGGAAGGAAUUGUAUAUCAUCAUUGCGAAGUGGUGGACCUAAUCGUCAUGGAAGAUGUGAUACCAAUCAGUCACUGGUCCGGCUUAUAGUGAACUAAGUUAAUUCGUUGAUUCAACCAGUCUAGUUGUUCAUAGGCCAGUACUCUGGACUGUUUCACGACCAAACACAGUAGACGUCUGGACUACUGUAUGUGAAGCUAUAAUCCCUGGCAUAGCAAGUCCUCAAACAACACAACAAGAAGAUGGGUGUAGAAUUAACAUCGAAGUCCCAAGGAUGAUAAUAAGUACCAUACGCAGCUACGCUAUUACUGCAAAGAAUGUGAAAAAUUGCAGUCAUUUGCUAAACUACGAGUAAUUAGUUUAUAAUAGCGAGUCUAAUAUAUGGGCCUAUAUCAUUUGAACCAUUUUUUUUGGGAACCAUGAUUUUUUUGUGGGGACCAUGAUUCUAUUUUAGGCAAGACAUUAUAAGUAAUCCUAAGUCACCUCUUAUCUAAAUGUUUUUCUUAAUACCAAACUUAC